Molecule: non-coding RNA, 26 nt
Filed under: Homo sapiens (human)
Lineage: Eukaryota; Metazoa; Chordata; Mammalia; Primates; Hominidae
Source: RNAcentral
GUCUAUUUUAGGAGGACCUAGGAUGA